Molecule: long non-coding RNA, 391 nt
Filed under: Mytilus galloprovincialis (Mediterranean mussel)
Lineage: Eukaryota; Metazoa; Mollusca; Bivalvia; Mytilida; Mytilidae
Source: RNAcentral
AAACACUUUUGUUAUGAUUAAGGACAUUGUGAACGGAUUAUUUGAUUAAUACUCGUUAAUUUGUGAAGUAAUCAUCUUACUAUUGUCUUUGUACUGACUUCCCAUUAGUUUUAUUAUCUAUCUGCAUUCUGUAGGUCUGUAGUAUAAUUGUGCAGGAAAACAUGAUAUAUCAGUGUAGUUCUGUAGUAUAAUUGUGCAGGAAAACAUGAUAUAUCAGUGUUUUCUAUGUUGUGUUUUGUAUAUUGUUGUUUGUCUUUUGGUCGUUUUUGUUUUGUCUAUGUUAUGAAGUUGUUGUUGGUUUUCAACUGAUGAGUGUGAUUGUCCCUGUUGUAUCUUUUCGUUUUCUUUUAUUGCAAACUACAAUUUUGAUUGAAUCUUAUUUAACUUUUCG